AACGAACGCUGGCGGCAGGCUUAACACAUGCAAGUCGAGCGCCCCUCCUUCAAGCAAGCUUGAAGGAUUUUAUCCUUGAAAAAGAAGAUCAAGAAGAGCUUCAGAAUGAAGCUUUCUUGAUGGAGGGGAGCGGCAGACGGGUGAGUAACGCGUGGGAAUCUACCCAUCCCUACGGAAUAACGCAUGGAAACGUGUGCUAAUACCGUAUACGCCCUUAGGGGGAAAGAUUUAUCGGGGAUGGAUGAGCCCGCGUUGGAUUAGCUAGUUGGUGGGGUAAAGGCCUACCAAGGCGACGAUCAGUAGCUGGUCUGAGAGGAUGAUCAGCCACACUGGGACUGAGACACGGCCCAGACUCCUACGGGAGGCAGCAGUGGGGAAUAUUGGACAAUGGGGGCAACCCUGAUCCAGCCAUGCCGCGUGAGUGAUGAAGGCCUUAGGGUUGUAAAGCUCUUUCGUCAGGGAAGAUAAUGACGGUACCCGGAGAAGAAGCCCCGGCUAACUUCGUG
Molecule: ribosomal RNA, 506 nt
Filed under: uncultured bacterium 'eubacterium sp.'
Lineage: Bacteria
Also listed under: 1 other name
Description: bacterial SSU rRNA
Rfam family: Bacterial small subunit ribosomal RNA
Source: RNAcentral